CCUACGGGUGACAGCAGUGGGGAAUAUUGCGCAAUGGGCGAAAGCCUGACGCAGCGACGCCGCGUGAGGGAUGAAGGUCUUCGGAUCGUAAACCUCUGUCAGCAGGGAAGAACGGUCACUGUGCUAAUCAGCAGGGAAUGGACGGUACCUGCAAAGGAAGCACCGGCUAACUCAGUGCAAGAAGCCGCGGUAAUACGGAGGGUGCGAGCGUUAAUCGGAAUUACGGGGCGGAAAGCGCGCGUAGGCGGGAUGUCAAGGCAAGGGUGAAAUCACCGCGCUCAACGUGGGCACUGCCUUUGAAACUGGCAAACUGGAGUGUGUGAGAGGCUAGUGGAAUUCCAGGUGUAGCAGUGAAAUCCG
Molecule: ribosomal RNA, 360 nt
Filed under: uncultured bacterium
Lineage: Bacteria
Description: partial 16S ribosomal RNA
Rfam family: Bacterial small subunit ribosomal RNA
Source: RNAcentral